CGGGGUGUAGCGCAGUUGGCUAGCGCGCAGCGUUCGGGACGCUGAGGUCGGAGGUUCAAGUCCUCUCACCCCGACCA
This 77-nucleotide transfer RNA is filed under the name Ktedonobacterales bacterium. Its description in RNAcentral is "tRNA-Pro". It matches the Rfam family "tRNA". From Rfam's summary of the family: Transfer RNA (tRNA) molecules are approximately 80 nucleotides in length. Lineage: Bacteria; Bacillati; Chloroflexota; Ktedonobacteria; Ktedonobacterales. The record is from RNAcentral. RNAcentral also lists the same sequence under 4 other names.